Amblyraja radiata (thorny skate) is the source of this 68-nucleotide long non-coding RNA. RefSeq lists it as uncharacterized. The record is from RefSeq and is a predicted model, not a curated record. Lineage: Eukaryota; Metazoa; Chordata; Chondrichthyes; Rajiformes; Rajidae. The transcript has 3 exons.
GAGGGUGCAAUUCGGAUUUAGGAGCCGUUGCUGCGGACGGAGAGACAGGGACGUGAGCGGACAUUGAG